Molecule: ribosomal RNA, 199 nt
Filed under: uncultured bacterium
Lineage: Bacteria
Description: partial 16S ribosomal RNA
Rfam family: Bacterial small subunit ribosomal RNA
Source: RNAcentral
ACGCUCGACACCUACGGGAGGCAGCAGUGGGGAAUAUUGCACAAUGGGGGAAACCCUGAUGCAGCGACGCCGCGUGGAGGAAGAAGGUCUUCGGAUUGUAAACUCCUGUUGUUGGGGAAAAAGAGGAUGGUACCCAACAAGGAAGUGACGGCUAACUACGUGUCAGCAGCCGCGGUAAUCUGAGCGGGCGUGGCAAGGC